CGUAAGUUUCCAGUCGUGACCACAUUUUUGGCAUGUUAUACUGCCAUUUCGCCUUUCAUCCUCUUUAGGCCUAGUUUCCUAAGCACCUCAGGGACAAAACUGUUUAUACGUGUGUGUGUGUCACGGUUUCCACAAGACUCGCAAUCUAUAUUUGGGUUUCCAUUAUCAAGUUAUAACUUUUUGGCCCUCUUCACCUCUCCCAACUCUUCACUGAGCAUUGAGCUCUCUCAACUCUGACUCCCUUUAAUCUAACUAGGGCAUCCUUCCUCCAAGCAUUCUUACUACUACUGACGUUUGGAUUUUAAGAUUCUACAAUGUUUGCUCAACGAAAACUAGCUUCCCCUUCCUUGGUUAUUUUGGCUAGGCAACUUCCACAAACAAGGCUUCCUCCCAGCCAGCAGCCGACACCAGCCAGUCCCCUUCCCCUGCGCGGUGCCCGUAUCUAAGCCCUCAUUCUCUUUCCUAAGAUGGCCGCCACAAAGCCCCGGGAAGGCUUUGGGUGAGUUUCACCCACGCAAGGCCACUAUCAUUCCGGAGACCCCACAAGCAGGGGCUGAAAUAGGAAAAUGGCCCGAGGAAGUGGAACGGGAAGAGUGAGAACUGGCCAAGGCGCCGUGGCCCGGGAAGGCCCGGGAAGGCCCGGGAGGGAGGGUCCCCUUGGCUCCCGCGGAGCCUAGACCAGCGUCAUAGGAAGUGGGGGCCCCACCCCCUAACGUCAGGGGCGGAAGUGAGCGUUGCUGGGCGCCGAUGCGGGGAGAAAGCGGCUGUGGAGGGAACGUGUCUCGACCGAGUGCUUGGAUUCAGCUUCUUCAUUUCCAACAUGGAAGAAACUUACAGUAUGUAUUUCUUACUGUUUUUAGAAAAUAAGUUAAAUUUCUUACAUAUAGUU
Molecule: long non-coding RNA, 889 nt
Filed under: Mustela putorius furo (domestic ferret)
Lineage: Eukaryota; Metazoa; Chordata; Mammalia; Carnivora; Mustelidae
Description: lncRNA (ENSMPUG00000029727.1)
Source: RNAcentral